Molecule: non-coding RNA, 89 nt
Filed under: Pseudomonas sp. 43mfcvi1.1
Lineage: Bacteria; Pseudomonadati; Pseudomonadota; Gammaproteobacteria; Pseudomonadales; Pseudomonadaceae
Source: RNAcentral
UUUUAUGGUGGCUGUGUGUGGGAGACCUUCGGGUCUGCCGGGUUCCUUCGUAUCCUCGGUCUGCGAACCCACGCGCAGCUACCACCCAU